RNAcentral lists this long non-coding RNA (1860 nucleotides) under Macaca mulatta (Rhesus monkey). RNAcentral's name for it is "lncRNA (ENSMMUG00000060576.1)". Lineage: Eukaryota; Metazoa; Chordata; Mammalia; Primates; Cercopithecidae. The record is from RNAcentral.
GGAGCCCCGCGUAGUUCCGGAGGCGACUGCGACGCAUGGCGGCGAGCGGUGUGGAGAAGACGCGCGGGUGGCGGGGCCUUGCACUGCGGCGGCCCUCCGGCACCCUUGUGCUGCCCCCCUUCCUCCAGGCCCUAGGACCUCAUGCCGGGGAGGCAGCGUGGGCCCCAGGCCCCGGUACUCUGCGCCUCCCGCAGACGCCGGCUUCCCGGCCCGGUUUCCAGCGCCGGGAAUCCUUCCACUGUCUGUCUCUGCCCAGGGCAACCCCUGCGCAGUAACGCGGACCCCAUAGCGCACCCGUUAGGCGAUGAAGGCGCAAAAGAAGAGGAAGAAAACCCGGAACAGGGCCUCGGUGGCAAAUGGAGGCGAGAAGGCCUCAGAGAAGCCCGCCCCAGAGGAAGUUCCCGUACAAGCAGUUGGCCCAGGGAUUGGCUUGGUGCGUGGAGCGACUGCAGCUGGGUCUCCAGAGGCAGAAACUCACCCCGACACGAGUAAGAGACGUGGAUUGUGUGAUGCCCCAUUAUUUUAUGUUAUCAGUAAGAUAAUUUUUAAAAUGCUACAAAUGAUUUUGAGUCCAGCUCGAGCAACAUAGUGGGACACCUGUCUCUUAACAACAACAGCCAAAACAAACAAACAAGCAAUAGCAAAACCCUCAAGUUUCGGAUAUACUCCUGAUUAAGAAACCCAGAAUAGACGGAGUCUCACUCCGUUGCCAGCCUGGAGUGCGUUGGUGUGAUCUCGGCUCACUGCAUCCUCCACGUCCCAGGUUCGAGCGAUUCUCCUGCCUCAACCUCCCACGUAGCUGGGACUACAGAUUCCACUUCUGCAAGACUCUACAGAAGUCUCCAACCUUCAAAUCUUCAGUCUCCGAAAGCACCGAUUCCUGAAAGGAUGGCCUCAAAUGACCAAGUAUACGAGCCGUCUAUAUCCCUGCUCCUGAAAAACAAGCUAACUGGACUCUCCAUCACCUUCCCCCAGCACAGACGCACUACCAGCUACGCAGCUGAACUCCAUGACUGACUUGCCAUCCAAUCAUGCCCCUGACCCAGCCUACAUGAACAAGGGAAGGAACAUCAGCGAAUUAGGAAAAGAGGCAGAGGUGAGGAGACCACCUGUCCUGGGCCACAGAGCUAUGUAGAGUUCAUCAAUCUCCAGCCCCUUAGUAUUCCAGGGGCUCUAAACCACCUUCUGUAAGUCAGGAUGGAAGUAGAUGGUGCCACGAAGAUUUCUCUCUGCUGUAGCCACUCCUUCAGUGUCUCAAAAUGUUUUAACAUCUUUCAGUAAAAAUCUGUCAGUCCUUGAUAAAUUAAAAAAAAAAAAGGCAGCAAAGUUUUUAGAGCUCCCUUGAACCUUCUAUUUUAAGGCGCCUUUGUAGAUAAUUCCCAACAUUCUGUGUGUCGGUCAUCUUUGGAAUUUAUCGAUCGAUCAUUGUUUCUCUUCAAACUUGGCCUUGCCCUGCCCAUUCCAUUCUUACCCGCUUUCAUUGGCUUCACUAGUCAAUUCCACACUCAUUCUAGACACUGGGUGCACGAGACUCACUCCCGUUUGUAUUACCAAAACUCAGGCCAAUAGGAUAUAAAAAGUAGGAAGAAUACUGGGAUUUAACAUGAGUACAAAUCUCAUUUCUUCCAAUUCCUAUGUCUUCUUGAAUCCUAAUCUUUCUGAGACUCAAGUUUUCUAUCUAAACGAUCCCUUGACCAGAAUGUUCAACAGACGUGACAAUACUAGAACGUGUUUUAAUUCAUUCUAAGAUUCCUUAAAAUUCUGUAAUUCUAUGUGCUGCUGAUUCUGGGAAUACAUAGCCAGCAGAAUUUGAAAAACGAAUAGAAUUAAAGAAAUAACAAAGACAAAAAAAAAAAAAAA